GAGAGCAGAGAACGAAANUAGAACAACUUUGAGCGGUGGAUCACUCGGCUCGUGCGUCGAUGAAGAGCGCAGCCAGCUGCGUGAAUUAAUGUGAAUUGCAGAACACAUUGAACAUCG
This 117-nucleotide ribosomal RNA is filed under the name Zaptyx daemonorum. RNAcentral's name for it is "Metazaptyx daemonorum partial 5.8S rRNA". The stretch from base 25 to 117 matches the Rfam family "5.8S ribosomal RNA", at positions 1 to 94 of the family's 154-position model. From Rfam's summary of the family: 5.8S ribosomal RNA (5.8S rRNA) is a component of the large subunit of the eukaryotic ribosome. It is transcribed by RNA polymerase I as part of the 45S precursor that also contains 18S and 28S rRNA. Lineage: Eukaryota; Metazoa; Mollusca; Gastropoda; Stylommatophora; Clausiliidae. The record is from RNAcentral.